RNAcentral lists this ribosomal RNA (299 nucleotides) under uncultured bacterium. Its description in RNAcentral is "partial 16S ribosomal RNA". It matches the Rfam family "Bacterial small subunit ribosomal RNA", at positions 28 to 320 of the family's 1533-position model. The record is from RNAcentral.
GACGAACGCUGGCGGCGUGCUUAACACAUGCAAGUCGAACGGAUCAGGGGAGCUUGCUUUUCUGGUUAGUGGCGAACGGGUGAGUAACACGUGAGUAACCUGCCCUUCACUCUGGGGAUAACUCCGGGAAACCGGGCUAAUACUGGGAUACGACCCGAACGAGGCAUCUGUAUUCGGGUGGAAAGAUUUAUUGGUGGGGGGAGUGGACGUCGCGGCCUAUCAGCUUGUUGGUGAGGUAAUGGCUCACCAAGGCGACGACGGGUAGCCGGCCUGAGAGGGCGAUCGGCCACACGUGGGAC